Molecule: ribosomal RNA, 718 nt
Filed under: Corallococcus sp. 42-tjn-1
Lineage: Bacteria; Pseudomonadati; Myxococcota; Myxococcia; Myxococcales; Myxococcaceae
Description: bacterial SSU rRNA
Rfam family: Bacterial small subunit ribosomal RNA
Source: RNAcentral
CGAAUAGGGGCAACCCUUAGUAGAGCGGCGCACGGGUGCGUAACACGUGGAUAAUCUGCCUGGAUGCCUGGGAUAACCAGUCGAAAGAUUGGCUAAUACCGGAUAAGCCCACGGUCUCUUCGGAGACUGAGGGAAAAGGUGGCCUCUGUAUACAAGCUAUCACAACCAGAUGAGUCCGCGGCCCAUCAGCUAGUUGGCGGGGUAAUGGCCCACCAAGGCGACGACGGGUAGCUGGUCUGAGAGGACGAUCAGCCACACUGGAACUGAGACACGGUCCAGACUCCUACGGGAGGCAGCAGUGGGGAAUUUUGCGCAAUGGGCGAAAGCCUGACGCAGCAACGCCGCGUGUGUGAUGAAGGUCUUUGGAUUGUAAAGCACUUUCGACCGGGACGAAACCGUAAAGCCUAAUACGCUUUGCCUUGACGGUACCGGGAGAAGAAGCACCGGCUAACUCUGUGCCAGCAGCCGCGGUAAUACAGAGGGUGCAAGCGUUGUUCGGAAUUAUUGGGCGUAAAGCGCGUGUAGGCGGCUUUGCAAGUCGGGUGUGAAAGCCCUCAGCUCAACUGAGGAAGUGCGCCCGAAACUGCAGAGCUUGAGUGCCGGAGAGGGUGGCGGAAUUCCCCAAGUAGAGGUGAAAUUCGUAGAUAUGGGGAGGAACACCGGUGGCGAAGGCGGCCACCUGGACGGUAACUGACGCUGAGACGCGAAAGCGUGGGUA